Molecule: long non-coding RNA, 305 nt
Organism: Acanthopagrus latus (yellowfin seabream)
Lineage: Eukaryota; Metazoa; Chordata; Actinopteri; Spariformes; Sparidae
Exons: 3
Source: RefSeq, a predicted model, not a curated record
GACUGGAGAGAGAGCAGCAGGAGAAAGAGCGACUUCGAGAAAUAGAAGAGGGCAAGAAGGAGAAGGAGCAGCAGUGGCGGACUCAUGUAGCACAUGUGGCCUCCAGCCAGGAGAAGACUCUGCAAGACAGACUGGCAAGACUCAGGAGAUUCAGGGAGUUCCAGAGAAAGGUGCUGGUUGAGGAGUCAGGGAUGGAGGGUGGGGCGGCCAGCCUCGCUGUCAACCAUCUUCUCACCAGGAUGUAGAUGUACUACAGAGAGUGACUUAUGAAAAAAUGUGCUUUUUGCUGUGCUUUACAUCAAUAA